Molecule: ribosomal RNA, 301 nt
Filed under: uncultured bacterium
Lineage: Bacteria
Description: partial 16S ribosomal RNA
Rfam family: Bacterial small subunit ribosomal RNA
Source: RNAcentral
CAGCAGCCACGGUAAUGCGUAGGUGGCAAGCGUUGUCCGGAAUUAUUGGGCGUAAAGGGCUCGCAGGCGGUUUCUUAAGUCUGAUGUGAAAGCCCCCGGCUCAACCGGGGAGGGUCAUUGGAAACUGGGAAACUUGAGUGCAGAAGAGGAGAGUGGAAUUCCACGUGUAGCGGUGAAAUGCGUAGAGAUGUGGAGGAACACCAGUGGCGAAGGCGACUCUCUGGUCUAUAACUGACGCUGAGGAGCGAAAGCGUGGGGAGCGAACAGGAUUAGAUACCCGUGUAGUCCCUGUCUCUUAUAC